UUUUUAUUUACGCAGGCAUUUACAAGCAUGUACAGAAUUUCCUUCUGAAAUAAAAUACAUCAUUUUCAUUUUAAUCACAGUCUUGUAAUAUGCAUUUCUGGCUAUAAUAAGAUGUAGAUGGACAGCGUUCCUGCUACAUGAUCCUGAAGGUGAUCUGAAGGUUAGAAUGAGUCAGGGAAAUUAGUCUGAAAUGAUGCCUUAUUUCUGAUGAGCAUCUAAUUCCUUUUUCCUUUUUAUCUAUAUCCAUUUCUGGAGAUUUUGAAAUUAAGACUAAUAUUUCUGCUUAUAGAGAACUUUUUCCCCAAAGUUUAAGAAACAAGCAAUGCUACUUUGGAGCAAACAGCAACAUGAUGUCUCAUGCUUUGGAGCAAAUGCACGGAAGGAGCAGGCACUCACACCGAACUGCAAAUCAGCUGCAUUGGUUUUAAUCUUGACUACGCACUACUGACAAACCUGCAGUAAAGAAAUACUAUGGAAGGAUGAGACUGAGUUCUGCAGCUUCCUUAAAAAAAAAAAAAGGAGACAAACCACAGAAGGCGGAGUUGCACAACAGCCUGACUGCUUCCAGAUAAAGGAGUAGAAAAUACAUUCAGUGGCAAUGAAUUAACUUGAAUAUCUUUUAAAAAAUGAUAGUAUCGGAUGAGUAGAAGAAAAGGUGUUGGCUUUUUUUUUUUUUUUUUUUAGGUUAUGGAGAGACAACAGAACGAAGAGGACUGGGCAGAUAAUGCAAUGCGGUUGGUUGGAACUAUUAAAAACUAUUUGUCAGUUUAAUGGGGUUUCUCUUGAUGAGUGUGAGAAGGACCUGCAGCGACAGAGAAGAUAUCUGCAUACAGAAAUCCAAAUGAUCUUCAGCAAUGCCGUGGUCACAGUGAUGCUGCAAGACCAUGACAUGCAAAUGUGGUGGAAUUUGCUGCAUUGCUUUUUUUUCACUUUUCUAUUUCCAAGCUUAAGAUUAGCAUUAGGUCUUCACUAACUGGCUCCACGCCAAUGAAAUGCAUUUAGAAAACACUUUGAGAAAAGAAUUUAAAGGCUAUCACCUGUAAAUUUCAAGGUCAGAAUAUUCAUCACCGUCCUUUGAAAUGCUCCCUGUGUUGGUAUUGCAGGUUAUGUCUGAAAUUUUGCCAGGUUUGAAGUCUGUAUGUUUUAGAAUUACAAAAUAAAGCAAACAAAACUCCCCCA
This 1179-nucleotide long non-coding RNA is filed under the name Anser brachyrhynchus (Pink-footed goose). RNAcentral describes it as "lncRNA (ENSABRG00000018135.1)". The record is from RNAcentral. Lineage: Eukaryota; Metazoa; Chordata; Aves; Anseriformes; Anatidae.